RNAcentral lists this long non-coding RNA (446 nucleotides) under Setaria italica (foxtail millet). RNAcentral describes it as "long non-coding RNA (SITA_LNC001211)". Lineage: Eukaryota; Viridiplantae; Streptophyta; Magnoliopsida; Poales; Poaceae. The record is from RNAcentral.
GCUGGUGGCCAGGCCAGGAAGCAAGCAAAGAUGGGGUCGCCGUGCUCCAAACUGUCAUCAGUCUCCAGGCGCUCGAGCUUGCCAGACUUCAGGUGAAAUGAAUAGCUGCCUUAUCCCCAUGUCUUGAUGAACACCUUCCCGCUGCGCCCAGCAUCGAUGUCGCUGAGCCAAGUGCACAGGUGCCGGUUCACCAGGUCCCUGGGCAGCCCUGGCACACUGUCGAGCACCUUGAGCAGGCGAAACUCCUCCACCAACCAUCCAUUGUCGCUCCAUUUGGUCUCCCCACGCACCCAUAGUUGCAGCCGCUGCUCCAGUACCACCGCGAUGCACAGCCUCCCGUCCUCUGGCAACUCGCCAAUGCGGUACUUGCGAAAGGAGUCCCCAAGCUCAGCCGGCGCCAGCAGGAAGGAGAAAUCCAGCGUACCAGGGUUCAGUGCAAGCAUGCG